RNAcentral lists this transfer RNA (73 nucleotides) under Ovis aries (sheep). It matches the Rfam family "tRNA". Rfam says of the family: Transfer RNA (tRNA) molecules are approximately 80 nucleotides in length. Their secondary structure includes four short double-helical elements and three loops (D, anti-codon, and T loops). Lineage: Eukaryota; Metazoa; Chordata; Mammalia; Artiodactyla; Bovidae. The record is from Rfam by way of RNAcentral.
UCUCUGGUGGUCUAGUUGUCAAGACUUUGAGCUUCCAAUGCAGAGGAUGUAUGUUUGAUUCCUGCCCAGAGAA